This 268-nucleotide unclassified non-coding RNA is filed under the name Hevea brasiliensis (rubber tree). The record is from RNAcentral. Lineage: Eukaryota; Viridiplantae; Streptophyta; Magnoliopsida; Malpighiales; Euphorbiaceae.
ACACAACCUUAAAUAGGUUUUGGUGUAGAUGAAAUCACUUUCAAUAACUCUCAGACACAGAAUUUAAUGCUAAAAGAUUGAAAGAGUAGAUCUACCACUCAAGCUCAAAAGUAUUUGAAUGAAACCUUUAAAAAUAGUACAAUAAAUUCUCAAUGAAUAUGAAUACUUUUAUUAGGUAAAAUUAUAGUAAAUAAUGUCUUUUAUAGGUUCUUUUCAUUACAAAAAACGUCUACUAGAGAGUGUAUCUAACGGCUCUUUAAUUUUCAAA